This 775-nucleotide ribosomal RNA is filed under the name uncultured Neocallimastigales. RNAcentral's name for it is "partial large subunit ribosomal RNA". It matches the Rfam family "Eukaryotic large subunit ribosomal RNA", at positions 23 to 612 of the family's 3401-position model. Lineage: Eukaryota; Fungi; Neocallimastigomycota; Neocallimastigomycetes; Neocallimastigales. The record is from RNAcentral.
AGAGAGAGACAUGCGCGCAUAUCAAUAAGCGGAGGAAAAGAAACUAACAAGGAUUCCCCUAGUAACGGCGAGUGAAGCGGGAAGAGCUCAAAUUUGAAAUCUUAAAGGGUUUCCCUUUACGAAUUGUAGUUUAAAGAAGUGUUUUCUGUUGAGGUUUUGGUAAAAGUUCUUUGGAAUAGGACAUCAUAGAGGGUGAGAAUCCCGUAUUUGACCUUUACUUUCAACUUUGUGAUACACUUUCAAAGAGUCGGAUUGUUUGGGAAUGCAGUCCAAAAUGGGUGGUAAAUUUCAUCUAAAGCUAAAUAUUGGCGAGAGACCGAUAGCGAACAAGUACCGUGAGGGAAAGAUGAAAAGAACUUUGAAAAGAGAGUUAAACAGUACGUGAAAUUGUCAAAAGGGAAGCGUUUGACACCAGUGUUGUUUUUCUGAAAAUCAAUUAAAGAACUGUUUAUGCUAAGUUGUUUAGACUUUAUCAGCUAACUGUUUAGUUUUGAGCUUUUCUUUAAUGCACUUUUCAGUUAACAAGUCAACAGUCAAUUUCUUUUGCUGUAAAAAAGCUUGAGGAAGGUGGCUUGAGAUUCGUCUUAAGUGUUUAUAGCCUCUUGCCUAUGCAGUCGGAGAGAUUGAGGUCUGCAGCGUAGAUCCUUCGGGGCUAAAUGCAUUUGUGCUAAGUUAUAGCAUUUUAUAGACAACUUGUUGACUAUGAUUUGUCUUGUAGCUUACUCGCUUAUGUUAUUUUACCUACGCUUAGGAUGUUGACGCAUGAGAUAUACGC